This is a long non-coding RNA of Pogonomyrmex barbatus (red harvester ant), 771 nucleotides long. The record is from RefSeq and is a predicted model, not a curated record. Lineage: Eukaryota; Metazoa; Arthropoda; Insecta; Hymenoptera; Formicidae.
AUAAUAUACUGUGAACACAAAUCUCAAUAAGUUUAUGUAACAAUAAAACUCUUUUUGUUACAGAAAAUUGUUAAGACUGAAAGACUGCUUCUUAUAACAAGCAGAUCUAAAUUUAUAUCCAAAUGUGCAAUCCUUUUUUUUUAACGACAAGAUGACUCUGCAUCUUCUCUCCUCCGCUCUAGAAACCGAUUUCUUUUGUUCAAAUGACAUUUAGAAUUUCUGAUUCAGCAAUAAACUAUAGUACAUUGUACGUGUUAACAAUCGCUCGCAAACUUUUCCAGUGAUUCGAGACACGCGAUGCUUUCUGGAAAAUGGUGCUACCGCAGCGCAUCUUUUUGUCAGCGAGGAUCUGCCUGUUGGCGAUACCGUAGGAGUCCUCGGAGUGCUAGGUGAUCCUGGCUCGCAAGGUGACAUCGAGCUGAGCCUGCAGGAGCAUGACAGCCCCGUCACGUUCUCACCGUAUUCGAAGAAUUUAACUCUUAUUAGACCUCUUGACAAGGAAGGUAUCGAGGGACCAGCCAGUGUCUACAUCAAUGUUAUCUGCGAGAAAAAACAUACCUUAGAUCCGGGUUUUAUCAUACCGGUAAACAUUCGGGUAACCGACGCAAAUGAUAAUUCACCGCAAUUCGUGAAUGCGCCUUAUGUCCUGAAUAUUUCUGAGGUUACUGUUGUCGGCACAAGAGUUUUACAAGGAGUUCGAGCUAUUGAUGCUGAUCAACCAGGACCAUAUUCCACUGUACAGUAUGCAGUCUUACCAGGACCUCACUCGGU